GUUAUACAAUUAAUAUUAGUUAAUAAUUUUGGUUAAAUUGAAGUUAAAUUUAUUUUGAUAUUAAUUUUUUUUUUUUUAGGUGAAAUUUAAAAAUUAAAUAGUUUUUUUUUGGUUCUUUUAAAAUUAAAGUUUAAACUAGGAUUAGAUACCCUAUUAUUUUAAUCGUUAAUAUUAACCUGGGUAGUAUUAAAUAUGUUUUUUAAACCUAAAGAAUUUGGCGGUAAUUUAUUCUUUUCAGAGGAAUUUGCCCUUUAAUCGAUAAUCCUCGUUUUAUCUUACCUAUUCUUGUUUAAUAAUAUGUAUACCGCCGUUAUAAGUUUAUUUUAUUAGAAUAUAAUUUAC
This 342-nucleotide ribosomal RNA is filed under the name Ramulus nematodes. RNAcentral's name for it is "partial small subunit ribosomal RNA". The record is from RNAcentral. Lineage: Eukaryota; Metazoa; Arthropoda; Insecta; Phasmatodea; Phasmatidae.